RNAcentral lists this long non-coding RNA (510 nucleotides) under Ananas comosus (pineapple). RNAcentral's name for it is "long non-coding RNA (ACOM_LNC027485)". The record is from RNAcentral. Lineage: Eukaryota; Viridiplantae; Streptophyta; Magnoliopsida; Poales; Bromeliaceae.
AUUUUAUUUUAGAGGAUAAAUUUUAAAUAUCUCUGUAAUUUUAUAUUUUCUUACUUUAAUAUUUUAUAGUUUAAAGUAUAUUAAUUUAAUAUCUUGUAAUUUUUUUUUUCUUUUAGUCGGCCCGUCUGUUAAGCUUUUUAUUAAAUUAUAUACAAAAAAUUUUAGAUACCGUACCUAUAAUUUAUCAAAUAUUUAUUUUAAUAUUUUUUAGUUUUAAUUUUGCCACUAAAAAAUUAGUGGAGGAGAUAAUAAAAUAAAAAAAAUAAAAUCAUAGAGUACGAAAAUAAUACGCUUUAAAUUACAAGAUACUAAAGUGAGAAAAUACGAAAUUAUAUGAUGGUAUUUAAAGUUUUCUUUAUUUUAAAUUUGCCAAGUUAACCACGGAUUCGGACGAUAUGGUUAUGGGUAAAAAUUAGAGGAUUUUUAGAAUCUAAAUAUUAAGGCUUUAUUUGGAAUGGUAAAGAAAUUAUUUAUGCACGAUAAGAAAAUAUAUAAUGAUAUAUUUUGCAU